RNAcentral lists this ribosomal RNA (544 nucleotides) under uncultured Glomeromycotina. RNAcentral's name for it is "SSU rRNA". It matches the Rfam family "Eukaryotic small subunit ribosomal RNA", at positions 548 to 1098 of the family's 1831-position model. The record is from RNAcentral. Lineage: Eukaryota; Fungi; Glomeromycota.
UUGGAGGGCAAGUCUGGUGCCAGCAGCCGCGGUAAUUCCAGCUCCGAUAGUGUAUAUUAAAGUUGUUUCAGUUAAAAAGCUCGUAGUUGAAUUUCGGGGUUCUACCGUUGGUCGGGCUUUGUCUGUACUGGUGUGUAGAAUUUCUACCUUCUGGGGAACCAUCAUGUUAUUAUUUUAGCGUGGUGGGAAACCAGGACCUUUACCUUGAAAAAAUUAGUGUGUUCAAAGCAGGCUUAUGUCUGAAUACAUUAGCGUGGAAUAAUAGAAUAGGACGGUGGUCCUGUUUUGUUGGUUUCUGAAUCACCGUAAUGAUUAAUAGGGAUAGUUGGGGGCAUUAGUAUUCAAUUGUCAGAGGUGAAAUUCUUGGAUUUAUUGAAGACUAACUUCUGCGAAAGCAUUUGCCAAGGAUGUUUUCAUUAAUCAAGAACGAAAGUUAGGGGAUCGAAGACGAUCAGAUACCGUCGUAGUCUUAACCAUAAACUAUGCCGACUAGGGAUCGGACGAUGUUAAUUUUUCUUGACUCGUUCGGCGCCUUACGGGAAAC